Molecule: small RNA, 57 nt
Filed under: Sinorhizobium meliloti 2011
Lineage: Bacteria; Pseudomonadati; Pseudomonadota; Alphaproteobacteria; Hyphomicrobiales; Rhizobiaceae
Description: putative ncRNA
Source: RNAcentral
GUAGGAAUAGAUCGCCUUGUCGUCGGAAAUGCCGGUGCCGGGGGCAUUGGCGAUGGU